GGGAAAUGAGUACAGGGGCCAGCCCCAGGCUCCCAAACCCACACAAGUUUAUGGGGCA
Molecule: non-coding RNA, 58 nt
Organism: Mesocricetus auratus (golden hamster)
Lineage: Eukaryota; Metazoa; Chordata; Mammalia; Rodentia; Cricetidae
Source: Rfam